Molecule: long non-coding RNA, 440 nt
Organism: Prionailurus viverrinus (fishing cat)
Lineage: Eukaryota; Metazoa; Chordata; Mammalia; Carnivora; Felidae
Exons: 4
Source: RefSeq, a predicted model, not a curated record
GGGCAGUGCCUGAACGCGCGCCCGGACUGACUCGUCCCUAGGAGGCUCGCAGCCGUCAGGCCUUUAGGAGCCUCCGUGCCAUUGCACCUGCUUUUUCUCGAAGAUUUUUGAAGAAAAAUUAAGAACAUUAGUCUGAAAACUACAAAGGAAACCAACCUCAUGUUCCUGGCCGAGAGAUCAGAAUAUAACCAAGGGAUUGCUAGGGAAAUGGCAUUGUCAAACAGAAGACCGAUUUCAGGGAUGGAGGAAAAGUGGGCAGACUAGAACUAGGCUGUCACCAUAUCCCUGCAAGAAACUCUCAAGAUACCUUUUGGAGAGAAAUGUGAGACCAACCAUCUCCCUGCCUUUGGGCCCCUCCCCAGCCCCUUCCCAAGGCUGAGGCCUGCCUGACAACAAGGCUUGCCUGCCUGUUCCACACCUGUGAGGAAGCUGAUGAAGGC